This is a long non-coding RNA of Carassius auratus (goldfish), 1208 nucleotides long. RefSeq lists it as uncharacterized. The record is from RefSeq and is a predicted model, not a curated record. The transcript has 4 exons. NCBI's taxonomy places the organism in Eukaryota, Metazoa, Chordata, Actinopteri, Cypriniformes, Cyprinidae.
GAUUUGGAGAGUCAUCAUUCUUGGUCUUCCCUCUUAAAGAGUUUGUGUUGGCCUGGAACAACAUGGGGAGAGUAAAUUAUGACCAUUUUUAUUAUUUGGUGAACUAAACCCUUUGAAGAGCAGUCCUCCACAUACAUGAACAUUUGUGAGGCCACUGAUGAAGACCAGGCGGUGACUGGGAUGAAUGCUGGUCAGAGAGGAAAAUCUUCUUUCCCCCAAUCUGAUGCAACAGUGGUUUUAAAGGAAGGACACUGCCCUGGAUGAUGUCGUCACAUACUGUGCUGAUGAGGCUUCUUCAUGACUACAUCAAUUAUGCUAAAGAGAUUAUGAAAGUUGACAUUGAUGCAUGAUCUUUAUUCAUGGACUAUGAAACGAACUAAUGAACAUCGCAACAGCGCUGGAUCCUAGUUGCUUCAUCUGUCUAGUCUGUGUCAGACGGAACAGAACGCAGAAUGUGAAGUAUAUUAAAGCGGGCCUUAAAGCUGCCUCCUUAACGGACACCUACAAUUCGCAUGCAACAUUUUUGCAUUCGAAUGUGGAUUUUUAAAAUUUUUAUUCUACGAAUAUUCGACAUUCGAUUUAAUUUUUUUUUGACAGCCCUAGUGCUAACAUGGUAGCUCAAUAUAAGAAUACACAUCCGAUCAUCUAAUCACUUGAAUGUCCAAACCAUAAAACAAAUACAACUGACAAAGUUUAGGGAAGACACAAGGCCAUCGCUAUGUGUUGAACUGGCUUUCACCUUCAUGUUUUGCUUUUAUGCCAUUGACUGGAUGGGGCAGAGUCAUGUGGCUACACACGCAGUAGUAGGCUUUUAAGGGGGAAGUAAUAACAGGAUUAAAAAAAACGAAAUAACUGACAUGGGAAAAUUACGUCGGUUAGAAGUACUGAAUUUCGGUUAAUGGUACUUUUCGAUUAAUGGUCCAGCUCUACUCACACGACCUGAAAAGUGAAGCUGUGGUCUUUGACUGCCCCUGGUGGCUGGCCACAGUACAUGUCAUAAACCCCGCCCUCUCCAUGUAAACAAAUAGGACACGAGUCCAAAAAAAUAAAAAUAAAAUUAAUAAUUACACAAUUACAAUACAUUGCAAUAAAAAUAAAAAAAUAAAAAUAAACGGGCGUGUCGUUAUGGUUGAUUGGGUCUGUUGGAGUUUGGGUGGAGUUUGAAUAAAAUGCAUGACCCGAUCGCUCAUAAAAAAAAAAAGAAAAAA